This 253-nucleotide ribosomal RNA is filed under the name uncultured bacterium. Its description in RNAcentral is "partial 16S ribosomal RNA". It matches the Rfam family "Bacterial small subunit ribosomal RNA", at positions 524 to 776 of the family's 1533-position model. The record is from RNAcentral.
UACGAAGGGGGCUAGCGUUGCUCGGAAUUACUGGGCGUAAAGGGCGCGUAGGCGGUUCUAUAAGUCAGGCGUGAAAUUCCUGGGCUUAACCUGGGGGCUGCGCUUGAGACUGUGGGACUUGAGGUCAGAAGAGGGUCGUGGAAUUCCCAGUGUAGAGGUGAAAUUCGUAGAUAUUGGGAAGAACACCGGUGGCGAAGGCGGCAUCCUGGACCAAUAUUGACGCUGAGGAGCGAAAGCCAGGGGAGCAAACGGG